AAAUUGAAGAGUUUGAUCAUGGCUCAGAUUGAACGCUGGCGGCAGGCCUAACACAUGCAAGUCGAACGGUAACAGGAAACAGCUUGCUGUUUCGCUGACGAGUGGCGGACGGGUGAGUAAUGUCUGGGAAACUGCCUGAUGGAGGGGGAUAACUACUGGAAACGGUAGCUAAUACCGCAUAACGUCGCAAGACCAAAGAGGGGGACCUUCGGGCCUCUUGCUAUCGGAUGUGCCCAGAUGGGAUUAGCUUGUUGGUGGGGUAACGGCUCACC
This 272-nucleotide ribosomal RNA is filed under the name Escherichia coli. RNAcentral's name for it is "partial 16S ribosomal RNA". It matches the Rfam family "Bacterial small subunit ribosomal RNA", at positions 1 to 269 of the family's 1533-position model. Lineage: Bacteria; Pseudomonadati; Pseudomonadota; Gammaproteobacteria; Enterobacterales; Enterobacteriaceae. The record is from RNAcentral.